Long non-coding RNA from Stegodyphus dumicola, 384 nucleotides. NCBI's taxonomy places the organism in Eukaryota, Metazoa, Arthropoda, Arachnida, Araneae, Eresidae. The record is from RefSeq and is a predicted model, not a curated record.
CGGCCGAGCGAUCCAAACAGGACGGUUCAUCCUCAGCUACAAAUUCAGUGCUUACAAGUUCAAGUCAUGAUCUGUCAGUGUUCUUACUAACACUGUGCUACUGAAUCAUUUGCUGAUGAGUUUUGAUAAUUGCCUAAAAUUGGAUUUUGUUACUUAUAAAAAAAAUAUGAUUUUCUGAUCUUUCGUCAGAAAUAUAGUGUUGAUACCGGAAGAACCUCUGCGAGGUCAGAUAGCUGUCAUAUCCAUCCCGUUAGAUAAUUAAUUCUGCUAUAGCAAUGGUGGAAAAGGAAACGAGGAAAAAACUACAAGAUUAGGAACUAUUUGCCGCUUGGAAAUAAAAUCCAGUAGGAAUCCGAAUUCAAAAAAAGUUAUCGAAAAUAUUAG